ACAGUACUUGGAUGCUGAUUUUUUUAGUGAGAAUGUGGCUUAGCCCUGUCACCCCUUAUAGAGGUAAUGGUAUGUUCUCCCCCUCCUCCUUUUAUUUCCUUAUAAGCUACCCAGAAGAGAGAUGCUGGGUGGAAGAAUGUUCUGUUGAGAGUGAGUGAGAAAAGGGGUGCCCAUCCAGCCAUCUGUUACAUCUUGCUACACAAAGGGGGGGCUUCUAGAUCUAGGUAAAUAUGACAGAAGUGGAGCCAGUUCUGGACUUUUCCUCUUCUGCACGGGCAGGUCGUAGAAAUGCACUGCCUGAUAUACUGGGGUCACCAGCAGGGGUCGCACCUUCUGACCUCCCACUUAAACUAGCAGAAAUGUCUCUAAAUACAGAUCUGCAGUCUCCCACUGCUGAGUCACCGCAGCAACCAACUGACAGCCCUGAAUUAAAGGACACAUCCUAAUAAUUUAGCGGCCCAACUGGAGAGAGUAUUUUUUUCUGCAACCAAGCUGGAGAGGAUCAUGCAAAGGUCUAAGAAGAUUUGUUCAAAUCAACCAGCCUUUUAACACCAUAGGAACCUGACAAGAAAGGGGAGCAAUGGAUUGUCAGAUAUGAUGGGAUUGGGGGAGAAGCACUGGUUAAAACGAGCACUCACUCACUCUCUGAAUAUGUGUUUUGCUUGAACACGUUAAUAUUAGUCGUAGGAUUGGAGAAUUACAUAAAAACAAUUUAAAAAUACAGCGUAUGUCAAAAUUCACUGCGGGCACAAUAUCCGCAUGUGUAUGAAUGUAGGUAUUAUAUUUAUAUACAUGAGUACAGUUAAUGUUAUCCCUUUGAUAGUCCUAAGUGUCUGUGUAAUCUGGUCUUUGUGUGCAUAUUCUGCAUUUCUUGAUUAACUGUGUAACAAAGAAAGGGGUUAUAACAAAUCUUGCAAAGUUUCACCGAAAUUAUCCUCGUCAGUUGAUUAAUGAAAUAAAACCAUGGUGUUAAAACCCUGCAAAUAUUUAGGUAAAUGCAGGGUGCUAUGUGGCUUUUUAAGCUGAGACCUCAUGAAACACAGGGAAAAGUUAGAUGAAACCUGCAAGACAGGUGGUUAUCUGAGUAGACAUUAUGAGGCUCAGGUUUUUAAAGCAAAACAGAAGCAGAACUAUAGAGGAAGCAGAGCAGUGCCUGGUAUUGAUGUGGGGCCCAGGAGGUAUACUGGGCCCAGUGAGGGCACUGACUAAUAAGCAGUUUCUAUAUACAAUUGUGAAAAAUCUCAUUGCUAAUUAUCAGGGGGGGGGGGGCUAAAAUGAUUACUAUGGGACCCAGCUAUAGUGUAUGCCACUGGAAAAAAACAUUAUUUAAGUAGGAAACACAUUGCAGUUUUAUCCAAGGAAAGAAACAUGAUGUUACAAUAUCACUGAAAGAAAUGAUAAAGGCAGUGAGGUAGGUAAAGGGAUGGGGAAGCUUCUAGCAGAGAACAACGGCAGUACAGGAUGCAGUGUGUGUAUGUGUGAGAAGACCGUUUUAAUUAAAUGGAGAAAAACAGGCAGAGAAGGUGCUGAAAAGACAAUAGGGAUGAGAAUGAGGGGCACAUGGGUAGGACUAAAUGGGGAUCACCAUAGAAGUCAUAAUUAGAAAUAUAUGUGCAAUGGAAACAGUGUUUCCUCAGUGCAAACAAUUUUGUUUUUUUUUUGGUGUGAAUUUAAUUAACUGAAUCAUCUGCCCGUGGAAAAAAUACUGCACAUUAUUUUUGUCUUGUGUGCAGUGUAUUAAGUAUGAACAAUUUAACAUUUCAAAAUGGGAAUUCGAGUUUUAAUUAUGCACAUUAUUUUUCUGUGUAUGACUUUCUGUACUUUCCACCAUUACAGUCCUACAAGGUAGAGGCAGCUUGCAAGGCAGAUCUACAUGACAGUGUCAAGACAUUCAACAUUCAGAUAUUUUUAUUAAGAUACAUAGAGAAAGGAGCAGUAAAGGAUAUUUGGAAAAUUACUAUGGCUAAUUUUCUUCCUUUCUGCCAUAUCUCAAGCUAUACAUUUUAGAACACAGAAUUGUCUUAAAAAUCCUCAAGGUGCAUUCCAUUAAUCCUACUGCUGACAGACAUUUUUAUAUCUUAUGAAUUAAAAACAUGUAUUUCACAGUUUCUAGUAAUUGCAAAGCCACAUGUCUGCAAGUGAAGAAAAGUACAAUUUCUUAUAAAUAAACAGAUUUCUCAUG
This is an RNA transcript of Xenopus laevis (African clawed frog), 2182 nucleotides long. It is a transcript of the gene named cAMP-dependent protein kinase inhibitor beta-like, with no coding region annotated. The record is from RefSeq and is a predicted model, not a curated record. The transcript is spliced from 3 exons. NCBI's taxonomy places the organism in Eukaryota, Metazoa, Chordata, Amphibia, Anura, Pipidae.